Non-coding RNA from Pelobates cultripes (western spadefoot toad), 634 nucleotides. The record is from the annotation of a GenBank genome assembly. NCBI's taxonomy places the organism in Eukaryota, Metazoa, Chordata, Amphibia, Anura, Pelobatidae.
GUAAAGAAUCUUGUGGUUUUCACUUUAUUCCAUUAACCAUUUCAUGUCUACACGCACACUAGCCCCAUUGAAGUAACACUGUUAACAUGUCACUUUAGUCUGAGCUUCAGCCUAUUCUCACAAUGGAGAGAUUACAUAAUAUACAGACAGCACCUCAUUCUUCUUUUGCAAAACGUGGGAGCCUUAGCUUGACAAAUGCCCAACCGAAUUUAUGUUCUUUGACUAAAACAGCCGUUUUCCCAUCCCUGCUAUUAACACUGCUAUUUUAACUUGAAUAGCAAUUACAGUGGUGUGUGUUUUGUGUUUGUUUUUUAGUACUUGUGGUUUAAGGCUUGUUAUUUUGUGGUAUGAGUGAUCAUCGGUCAAACAACACGGUGACUAGUAUAAUAGUCAUAUAGUGACUUUGACCAAAUACCUUGAAAAUCAUGAGUGGAGACUUGCAGAUGUUAUUUAUCAUAUACUGAAUUGAAAUUAAAUUAAAAAUUUAAUUACAAAAUUGAGCCACAAAUAGUUUACUGGAAAUAUUCUUCAGCUCAGCUAUAGUCAAAGCUUGGCUAUUUUAGUUUACAUUUGCAAUUCAUGUUUCAGUUUAUUACAAUUCAGUGUUCAAUGAAUAAUAAUUUGAAGGGCUGGG